CUGCUUGUUCAACACCAGGUGCAAGUAGAAUUUUGAUUCCAGAAGCUAAAUAUGCAUUACGGGAUGUACUUUUGGAAGGCCCUUGUAAGGGUUCAAUGGUACUUCAAAUUAAAGGAACCUUAAUGGCCCCAGCAGACCCUAGUGAGCACCAUAGCCAGGGUUGGAUUACUUUCCAACAUGUCGAUCAUUUAACUAUAUCUGGAGGUAAUUUGGAUGGUCGAGGAAAAAUUGCAUGGGGAAAAAAUACUUGUCGUACGAAUGUAAAUUGCAAGAAUCUCCCAAUGGUAUGUUAUUCAUCAAUACCAUGUCACACAUUUUACUAUUUUAUUAUAAGAAGUACUAUUGCUAAUAAUAUUAACAUAUGUGUGAUGUUUUCACAAUCUUUAUCAGAAUUUAAGGUUUGAUUUUGUCACCAAUACCAUCGUUGAAAAUUUAACUUCCCGGGAUAGUAAGAAUUUUCACAUGAAUCUCAUCGGGUGCCAAAAUUUCACACUGCAACGUAUUAAGAUUAUAGCGCCUGGUGAUAGUGCUAAUACAGACGGAAUUCACAUUGGACGUUCUAAUGAAGUAAACAUUAUUGAUUCAAAGAUCGGCACUGGUGAUGAUUGCAUCUCUAUUGGUGAUGGUAGUCGGAAUAUCAAAAUCACAGGAGUAAGAUGUGGACCAGGUCACGGUAUUAGCAUUGGAAGCUUAGGAAAAUACAAAAAUGAAGAACCUGUUAGUGGAGUUUAUGUUAAGAAAUGCGACCUUAUAAAUACUUCUAAUGGCAUAAGAAUUAAGUCUUGGCCAGGAUUAUACAGUGGCGCUGCAACUGAUAUGCAUUUUGAAGAUAUUUCCAUGAAUAACGUGAGCAAUGCUAUCCUCAUAGAUCAAAUGUACUGUCCUUGGAACCACUGCAAUUCCAAGGUAAUUUUCAACAUUAUAGGAAAUGAAAAGAAAUAUAAAUAAUUUUCUUAAUUUGUAUAUAUUUGAUAAAUAGUCAACUAAUCUUUUGUACAUAUGUAUCUAAUCUUUUAAUUUUUUUUAUCCUUACAGGCUUCAUCAAAUGUUAAGAUCAGUAAGGUUACUUUCUCUAAUAUAAAGGGCACUUCUUCAACUCCUACUAUCGUUAAGCUUUUAUGCAGCAAAGGCUUACCAUGCGAGGGCGUGGAACUCAAUAAUAUUAACGUCGUAUAUAAGGGUCCUGAUGGUCCUGCAAAAUCUGAAUGUACAAAUGUCAAGCCUAAAAUUGGGAUACGAACAGAUGUGCUUCGUGGAUGCUAACGUCAAAGACUUGAAUUUAUAUUUUUAUUAUAUUCUCUAAAUUUAAUAAUUAUUUGUGAACACUAAAGAUUAUUAUGCAAAACCUUAUUUUGCAGAAAAUUUAAAGAUGGAUCCCACAUGCUUAGUAGAAUAAGGUAUUAGUAGGUUGACAUUGUUAAUGUGGUAAAACCUUGUACUUUUACUUUUGUACUCAUAUUGCUUAUGUUAACAAACUUGCAAUAUUGAUAAAGAUAAUAUAGAAUGAUUUCUACAUUAUUAAUUUAAAUAGCUAUUCUUUUAGUCAUAAUCCAUUUGGUUGAUGAAGUGGACACAUGCAAAUGACUCAUGUACUCCCUUGGCACAAUUUAGCAUAACAACCUUUAGAAAUUCUACCUCUCCUUCCUUUUCUUCCUUUCUCUCGCUGCUCAUAGAGACAACAUACCAAGAACCAAUUCUCUCUAAAGCAAAUCCAUUCGAUUCUCCAAUAAACAACCUAAACAAUAUAUGUCCUAAUUGUGGCAUUGUUACUUGUACCACUAAUGGCGUCUUAUUUCGAUUUUACUACCCGCAUUAAGAGCUGAAGGAAUAAUAGGAAAAUCAGGAAGUAUGAACUACCUAUCGAGUAUAAAAAAUCAACUAGCAUCAUAAAUCUAUCUAUUUUCUCUAGUAAACUUAAAUCCUUUUCAAAUUCUUCAACAUAACACAUGACUUUUCCAAAUAAUUAGAGCAAUUUUAAUUCUCUUCAUUCUCUUUUAACUAUGCAUUUGAUUUCAUCUUAUAAAGGGAUCAAGAAACCUACCAUCAAGUCAACUCAGUGAUGACUCUAGUAGUGCUCCACCGAGUCAUAUUGAUUUAGAUAAGGCCUUGCAAGGUUUAAUUUCAAAACAUUUAGUGAAACCGGAUAGCAAAAAAUGAUUUUAUACAGAUUAUCUAUCACCAUUAUUAUGAUAUUAAAAAAAAUGAAAUAAAACUCAGCUAUAAAGAAACAUAUAGUCUGGGAGGUUGAGGAAUAAAAAGAUGUGUGAUCCCUAUAAAGGAAGAAAGAGAAUGAAAAUGGCGUAUGCAAAUAAAUAAUUUUUAAGAAGUAGCCAAAAUAAACUAUAUAGUUUUUUCUCUUUGAAAACCACCUAUUCUAAUCAGUAUCUACAUUCGUAAAUUGUGAAAUACAUAGACAUAAAAUAACGGGGUGUGUCAACACGCGCAUCACAUUUGUUAACUUAAGGACUAAAUGAGUAUAAUGAUAAAAAUAUAAGGACGAGUUAAGAUGAAAUUGAUGGAUGGGAACCAAGUGAAACAAAGUUGAAUAGUACAGGGACCCAAAUGUAAGUUUUGCCAAAUUGUUAUGGAAAGUUUAGACAAAUCAUUACGAAAGGAAAUGGAGUCUUUUCAUAAUUAUUCCAUGCAUGUGUGCUCAACAAAAUAUGUCAAGGAAUGCGUUACAUCCAUGCAUUUGUAAAUCCCUUUUUCGAGAGAUAAUUAGCAUGAAAUAGGGUUCUUUGCCAUUUUUCUAGUUGGGGGUUCCUUUGUUGUAAGGGGCAGCUCGUCGAAAAUUUCUACAAGGAACUAUGGAUUAAACUCUAAAUAAAUUCGCCAAUUGGAAAAGACAAUUGCUUUCUACGGCUGGUCAAUUGGCCUUGAUAAAUUUGGUAAUUUAUGGCUCCUUUAUUUAUUCAUUUACAAUCUAUAAAUAACCUCAGAAUUUAAUUAUUCCUUUGGAGAAGCAAAUGAGGAAUUUUUUAUGGACUGGUAACAUCUUCAUUCGAAAAUUGGUUGCAUUAGCUUAGAUGGAGUGUUGCAAACCGAUAAAAAAUGGAGGAUUAGGCCUUAAGCAUUUGGCUGAUUUAAAUGAAUGUGUCCUUUUUAAGCUUGCAUGGAAGGUUCGAAGUUCUGCAUCUGCAAUUCUUUGCUUCAGCAGGACUAGGAUUCUUGAUCAAUGGGACUUGCCUCGUCUCAAGUAUUCUCGAUCCUCUAUUUGGAGCUCAAUAUAUAUUUGUUACCUCGAACUUUUUAAAGAAUCUAAAUGGAUAGUGUCUCCAUUUUCCUCCUUGAGUUUCUAGAAUAACAAUUGGUUGGGUGACAUCGUUUCGGAGAAGAUUGAGAAUCAGCCUGCUCUGCAAAGACGCUUGAAAGCUCGCAUUUCUAAUAUUUUUUAUAAUGAUACCUGGCACCUUUCAUCAGCUUUUGCUCAACAUUUUCAUGAGACUACAACUCAUAUAUAGAGCAUGGAUUUUGGUAGCACGAAUUCGUCGGUUUGGAUAGGUUCUCGAAAUGGCACAAUCACAUGUAAGCUUGUAAUGAGUUCUAUGUAUAAUCCUUUGCCCAUUUGCAGGGGAAUAAAUCUUUGUGGAAACAAUAUAUACCUCCAUCAAGGUCCCUUUUGAGUUGACGCCUUUUCACCUUCAAGAUUCCAACAGAUGAUAUCUUGGCGCGUAAGAGCUUUAAUUUGCCCUCCAUUUGUUGCCAUCUUUUGGAACAUUGGAUCAUCUUUUUCUUUGUUUCCCGUUUACAGCAGCUUUCUAGAGAGCAAGUGCACUUUGAUAAGUCCAACCUGAUAUCUCUUUAUUUAUCAGCUCGACAAAAUCCUCAUGGCUCCUAGAUUGCCAACCUUCUCAAUAUAGUUAUAGUCUCGAGCUUUUGGGUCAUUUGGCUUGGCCAGAAUCUUAUUUGGUGUUGUAUUAAGGAGAGUGAGAACUUCGAUAUUUGCACAAUGCCAAACACCUUGAAAGAUAAAUCAAUCCUCCAUCGGCUGUGUAUUUCUCCAAAGCUUGCGAAAGCACCAAAAAUCAUUGAGGUAAGCUGGUGCCCUCCUCUUUCAGGUUGGAUAGAUUAAAUACUAAUAGUUCAACUAGCGGUUCUCCAGGAAAAGCAGGUGCACGUGCGAUCUUCAGAAGUAAUCAAGGCUUUAUUCAUAGGCUCUUUGCUUCUUCUAUAGGAGUUUGUUUUGCUUAUGACGUUGAGAUUGAUGUUAUAAUUAUGGAAUUAGAGAGCCUUGGAAUCUCGGGUUGCAUAAUUUAUGGUUGGAAAGUGAUUCGACAUAUGUUGUAAAUCUUCUGAAAACCAUCUUUUGGAAGUGCCAUGGAAGUGGAGAGCAGCUUGGCAAGUUUGUCUUUCAUUCUUGUCAAAAUGAACUUUGUGGCCUCGCAUAUUUAUAGAGAUGAUUGAUGGUCUUACUGUUUAGGAAAAUUGAUACUGCUGCGAUAAUUUGGUGGAGCUCUCCUCCUUAAUUUUGUAAAUUUUUUUCUAUGAUAGCAAUGGCCGAGUUUGUUAUCCUUUUUAAGGAUGCUUGUGUAGCUCUUUUAUUUCAGUAUGUUCUUUUUGUAUAAUGACUCUGAUAUUAUUUUUUGUUAUUGAUAUAGAUGGAGGAUUAUAUGAUGUGCGGUGCUGAGGGGAUGUCUGCCUAAGCCCGAGUACAUUAUUUGUUAGCCUUUCCAUCAAUCUUUUUUUAAGAAAAAAUAGAGAAACACUAAUUUGAUAGCCCUAAUAGAGGCACUCGACCUUAAUAAUUUGUUUACCUCAGGUAUUUGAAAAUUAAUGAAAUCAUCCUUAAUUUUUUUUAAUAACAUAUAUAAUUCUAGUCCUUUUACUAUAUUUAAGUCUCUUAAAUAGACUCAUAUUUUAAAUAAAAUCAUAUUUUAUUUUCAAUUUCUCAAUUUGUUAAUGAUUAAAAAGUUAUUUUAUAAUUUCAAGAAUAAAAUAACUUCUUAGUUAUUAAAAGAUAGAGAAAUUGAAAUUAAGAUAUGAUAAAAUAAAAAAUAAAUGAUUUUUCACUCAAUCUUCAAAUAAGAAUAACAAAAGUAUAAUUAAGGAUAAAACUUUUGCUUUUCUUAUUACAAUUAUUAUUAUUAUUUUAUUAUUAUUAUUUUUAAUAAAAUAAUCCAUAGGAAAUUAGAGAGUGUACGAGGACAUCUCAAUUAGACUGAUACCUUCAUAGCACUCCUCAUAUCAUAUAAAUUAUAAUAUGUAAUAACCGUUUCUUUAUGAUUAUUUUUUAAUUCAAUUUAUAAUCAUUAAUUAAUUAAAAAUUAUUGAAUUCAGAUCUAGAUUUAUUCUUAAUAGAUAGGUAAACUCAGUCCAAGUAUUUAAUUAAUUUGAAUAAAAUAAAAUAUUAUUACUUAUUGGUAAUUAAUCUCUACACACACAUAGACACACACUCACUUAUAUAUAUAUAUAUAUCCGCUCUCUUCUUGAACAAAUUUCAUAGAAUAAAAGGAUAAAAAAUAUUUUUCUUUAUUUCUAUCUUGAAUUGAGGAAUUCUAAGCUAUAAAGAUAUGAUCAUUUUUCUUAAAAGAAUUUACAUAAGACAUGCUCUAUUUACUUCUUUUUAUGCUUUUUUUGAAAAAUAGCUAAUUUCAAGCUCUUUCUUUGCUCUAGUCUAUCAUUAACUGUGAAAUGGUGAUGUCUAAAGCUGAAAUUCCCGGCACAAGUAUUUUUGGGAUGAGAAAUUCAUGUGGCAUUAGAUUAGACUAAUGAAUAUGAAAGAUGAUCCUUCUAGUGGUGGCAGUCGAAGGAGAUUGUUUUUGUCUCUUUCAAAUGUUCAUUUUGUAAAGAAUCUAUGUUAACCGAUAAUGGAGACUGGCAGAGCAAGUGCAUAUCAGUCUAUAAUGGGAGUUUGGUAGUAAGAUAAUGUUGUUAGGACGUUAGAUGGAGAACGACGAAGGUAGCGGCGGGAAAGAGAACUUGUUGAUAGAAGAGAAAGUGAGGGAAGGGCUAGAAUAGUAAUUUGCCUACAGUGCAAGUUGCUAUUAAGUCCUUUCUUUUUAAAAAAUGCUGCUAUUAAGUCCCUCUAUUUAAUAUAUAUGUAAAUCAUUUAUAUUUUGGCAAGAUCAUCAUUUCUUAAAAUAACUUUAUUAAUGAACCAUACUCUCAUCAUAUUUUAUUACUUAAAUUGGAUUAAAAUAAAGAUUAAAAUAAUAUAAAGUAAUUAUAAUAAAUUAAAUACAUAAAAUUAAUAUAGCACUCACAUAUAUAUUAAAAUAAUUAACCAAUCAAAGAUGCUUAGCGAUUAAAUAAUAUAUCAACACCUAAAUAAAUUCUUAAUAAACAAAUAUUAAAAUACUGAAAUACCCAUGAAACAUUAUCAUUAAAAAAUUAAAAACUUAGGGUUUUUUUUUAAUGGUUGAUUUUUUUUUUAAUUGAUUUUAGUUGAUGUGUGAUAUUUUCUUAAAGAUUUUUAGUAUGAUUGAUGUUUAAUUAAGUUUUAGGGUAUUUGACUUAAGCGUAUUUUUAUAAAUAUAUUUUCUAGAAAGGCGUAUUUUUUUAAACUUUUUUUAGAUAAAAUGCAAUUAUAGUUAUAAAAAGAGAUAUUUUUUGCAAAGAACUAUUUUUAUGCGUGGAAAGCCUAAUGAAUUGUAAGCUACGUAAUAGAAGGUAGUCAUCUCAUUAUACUUACUAUAACGAUGAAAAUUCACCUAAUCCAGAUGUAGGGAUUUCAACUAAAGACAUCUACCUCCCAAAGAAAAAAAUAUUAUUGUCACUUGAGCUAGGUCUCAAAUAUAAAUAUGAAUGCUUUUUUUUAUUUGUUAUUAGUUAAUCUAUUUUAGUAACAUAACCAAAUAGUUUUAGUUUCAUUUUUGAUAUUUUAAAAUCAUUAUUAUGGUAUAUAAUAAUAAUUUUUAAUUAGUAAUAAAAGGAUGGUAUUUUUACUUUAUUCUUUUUAUCAAAAUGAAAAUAUAUCAAUACAACAAGCUGAAAUUAAUUAAAAAAAAUUAAAGGUUAGUAUCCUUAUUCUAAGAAACUAAAGUUUAAUAAAUAAAGAUUAAUAUAAAAUUGAAUUACUAUUAAAAUAACUUUUAUGCACACCCGUCUACACACACACAUAUAUAUAUAUAUAUAUAUAUAUAUAUUUGAAGUUUUUAAGAAUUUAUUUUUUUAUAAUGAUUCUCUUAUAGUGUUUUAACAAUAUUCCCGACUGUUAUGCAUUACCAUUUGACAUUUUCUUCCUUUUAGACAAAUGAAUGGAAAUGAUUAAUCAUAGAAGAAAACUUUUACAAGUCCUAUAGAGGAGAAUCUAGAAUUUAGGAAAAGAUAUUAAAUGAAAAAUGAUGGCCAUCAAUUACAAUUGUUCAAUACAUUAUAUUUAGCUUCAAACACAUAAUUUAAGCUAAAUUUAGAAAACAUGCAUUAAAAUAUUCUUUUAAAUUUAAUCAAUUACACUACUUAUAAAUAAUUCAGAUUCGAACUCUCUUCUCGCAAAAUAACAAGUACCAACAAAAGAAAAAGAAGAAAGCAACCUUAUACAAAGAUGAAAUCUAAAUUGAGUAUUUUAACAAUCUUUGUAUUGUUGUCAAUUUCUUUGAAAAUUAGAGCAGAAAAGGUUUUCGAUGUAAAAAAUUUUGGUGCUACACCUAGCCAAAAGAAUGAUAUUAGUAAGGUAUGUGUGCAUGAAUUUAAUUGUAAUGGUUUUUAUUCUGUUUAGUUCUAAUCUAAAGCCUUCUCUUUUCUUUAUUCAAACUUAGGCUCUAUUAGCUGCUUGGAAGGCUGCUUGUUCAACACCAGGUGCAAGUAAAAUUUUAAUUCCACAUGCUAAAUAUGCAUUACGCGAUGUACUUUUGGAAGGCCCUUGCAAAGGUUCAAUGGUACUUCAAAUUAAAGGAACCUUAAUGGCCCCAGCAGACCCUAGUGAGCACCAUAGCCAGGGUUGGAUUACUUUCCAACAUGUCGAUCAUUUAACUAUAUCUGGAGGUAAUUUGGAUGGUCGAGGAAAAAUUGCAUGGGGGAAAAAUACUUGUCGUACCAAUGUAAAUUGCAAGAAUCUCCCAAUG
Molecule: long non-coding RNA, 8003 nt
Filed under: Ricinus communis (castor bean)
Lineage: Eukaryota; Viridiplantae; Streptophyta; Magnoliopsida; Malpighiales; Euphorbiaceae
Description: long non-coding RNA (RCOM_LNC001999)
Source: RNAcentral